This 309-nucleotide long non-coding RNA is filed under the name Musa acuminata (dwarf banana). RNAcentral describes it as "long non-coding RNA (MACU_LNC004123)". Lineage: Eukaryota; Viridiplantae; Streptophyta; Magnoliopsida; Zingiberales; Musaceae. The record is from RNAcentral.
UCUCUUGUACAACAUCUAUGCAAGAUACUAAUGGGAAUGUGUGCAACACCUGAUCAGGAAUGAACUGUAUCAAAUCCAACUCUAUAUAUUGAUUGGAUCUGUGCUCUUUGAUGAAAACUACUUAUGUGACUGUAAGCUGCAAUAUAUUUACAAUAGCUCAUCUACAGCAGGAAGGACCUAAUGGUGAGAACUGUGAGAAUUUUACUACUGUAUAAACCAAUUUAUCUCCAGAUAAAUUACUGUGCUAUGUUUUCUGCAUUUGCUUAUCAGUCUUUUGAAGUCCUUUGGGCAUCACAUUUCCUGUCACAG